GCGCCACUAGCUCAGUUGGAUAGAGUGUUUGGCUACGAACCAAAAGGUCGAGGGUUCGAGUCCCCCGUGGCGCGCCA
Molecule: transfer RNA, 77 nt
Filed under: Clostridia bacterium
Lineage: Bacteria; Bacillati; Bacillota; Clostridia
Description: tRNA-Arg
Rfam family: tRNA
About the family: Transfer RNA (tRNA) molecules are approximately 80 nucleotides in length. Their secondary structure includes four short double-helical elements and three loops (D, anti-codon, and T loops). Further hydrogen bonds mediate the characteristic L-shaped molecular structure. tRNAs have two regions of fundamental functional importance: the anti-codon, which is responsible for specific mRNA codon recognition, and the 3' end, to which the tRNAs corresponding amino acid is attached (by aminoacyl-tRNA synthetases). tRNAs cope with the degeneracy of the genetic code in two manners: having more than one tRNA (with a specific anti-codon) for a particular amino acid; and 'wobble' base-pairing, i.e. permitting non-standard base-pairing at the 3rd anti-codon position.
Source: RNAcentral